GUGGAAAGGGAAGAACCUAGGGUUUACGAUUGGCAAGGGUACUUGGAGCUCGUGGCGCUCGCAAGGCGGUCCGGUCUGAAGGUUCGGGCUGUCAUGGCUUUUCAUGAGUGCGGUACUGGCCCCGGCGAUCCUUACUGGUGUAGAUGGAGCUGUUCGUAAAUUAAUCCAUAGAGAGAAAAAGGCAUGCUGGUCUGAUUAUCUUAAUCAAUUUGUGUGUUCUGAGUUCAUAUUCAGGUAUGAAUAGCUAUGAAUAGAAGUGUCCCGUUUUGUGUGACCUAACCCUUUGAAGGGGUGGCAAUCCCUCAAAGUGCGGCACUAAUCAAUGAAUGGUAAAGUAUACAUAUUUAUCCUCCUGAUUAAUUGGUAGACACGUCAAAUAGAUCUUAUAAUAUUGAUUAAGUGGUUAAUGUCGUCUAAUUAAAAUUUUCAAGCAACAUUAAUGCAGCGUUUAGAUGUUGAGUUGAGUUUAGUUGGGUAUAGUUAUUUAUGAAUAGUAGUCGGUUGAGAAUGUGGAGUAAAUUUUGUGAGGCUUAUCUAAGAUGAGUUUAAAUGUGUUUGGAUGUUAAUAUGAGUUUAAUACUAUGUAUGAAAAGUUGAAAAGGUUGUGGGUCCCACUUGUAAAUAGGCGUUGAGUUGAAAAUAGUUGUGGGUUUCACGUGUAAGGAAAUUUUGAAUUGAGAUGAGUUUAGUAGUUUGAGAGUUGUGUGUUUGGAUGUUAAACUUAACUUAAAAUUAGACUAAAUUGAGUUCAUCUCAGUGCAUUCCAACAACCAAACUAACCCUAAAGUUAGUGUUGUAGACUCAUUUUAUUGUUUUAUCUCUCCUCUAUCAUAAAUUACUACUACUAGUUAGAAAUAAGACCAAUAAUUGAAGGUAGAAUAUUGAAACUUGGUCGUCCCAUGGAUCAUGUCAUCGCUAAGGAUUAGCAUGACAAGAUUGCCAGCAAAACUUACAAGCCAAAAGCAGAAGACGAAAAGAUUGGGCCAUGCAAGGGCACUGACAGCUAUUUCCAUCCAAAUUCAAAAUUGCUUUCAAUUGCUUAAAGGUCAAUAUUAGGUUCGAUGCACAAAAGUUUGUUUAAUUGACUUUGUGGCCGUGAUCUCGGUAAUGGAUACUGGUUAUUCCUCAUAAUUCCAUUCCACAAUUAUUUUUGAUGGGGAGUGCAUGCACCAUGAAAACUUGUCAUUAUUUCACCCUCUCCCACCUAUAUUAAUAUUAUAUAAUAAGCACACCUCCCUACUACCAUGAAUCGGCCUAAUGGUCAGAACUUCUGUUCUUAUCUUCCGCGUACGUACCCUUCAUUGAUAUGCAGUCUCAAGGUCAGCAGAUUCUAUCUGUUUCUUUUCCUUUUUACUAGAAAGAUCAGAAGUGUGAGGAAUGGAUAUCGUGUAAAGAAAAGACAAAUAAUGAAAUCGGGUAAUGGUAUACAGUGAAUGGUCUGAAUUCAUAUACAUUGCUUUCGUGGUUCAUAGAUGAUCAAGAAAAUAGCCAUGAUCACGUACGAGAAGAGCAUUACCUGUUGGAGCAAUCCGCCUAGUGAAUUGCUUUGCAUGGAAUAAUAUCUCUGUUAAUGCAGACCAAAGAAAUCUCAGGAUCAAGAAGGUGGGCGUUGCUUCUAUAAUUAAUUCUAGCUAAUUGCCUCUGCUCCAAGUACUGAUUAAUAAUAAAUGUGAGACACUUGCAUGAGUUUGUUUGAUGAAUAAUUUAUAUAAAAUUAUGUGAAACAAACCUGCCCCACUAGGUAGCAGUUCUGUUUAUUUGGAAAGUGCCUACCACUAAGAUAUAUAUAUAUAUAUAUAUAUGCUUCCUUUCAUGUAUCUACUUAAUUCUAUCACAAGAAUUAGGCACUAGAAGCUUAGUACUCAUGAAUGAAAGGAACUGCAUGCAGUUUUUCAGCAAAUUUGGGAUGCCCUCCGUACGUCUUUAGGGGAGGAACUAGGAAGCCAUUCCUGUCAUGAUCAUCUCAUUUCUGUAGUUCUCUACCAACACAAUGAAAUUCUAUAUUGAGCUAGCUAGCUAGGUAGGGAGCCAAAGGAAAGAAGCAUGCAUGCAUGCAUAUAUGCAUCAUAACUUACGAAUAUAUAUUAUUAUUUUUUUGAAAUUCUAUAACAAAAUAAAGAAAUUUUCGUCGUCUUCAUUAUGUCAGCAUGAAGUAAUUGUAGUGUGUUCAUGCUAAUUAGUAGUACAUGAUACAAUUAUUUACAUACUGACAAGACGUUUUCGUUCACUUUUUUUUCUUUCUUUCUUCUUUCAUGCACCUGAUCUUCGAUCUCAGUGUUAUUUAAUCCCUUGAGAAUGUAUAGAUAUAUAUAUAUAUAUACACACUAAAGAAACCAGAGCCUUUAAGCGAAAAUGACAACAAUGAGUUCUUAUUAGAGGCCCGGAAAGUACCAAAGUAUCAGAAAUUAUAAUAUUGAAAGAAACACAAGUACUAUCUAUAAGAUUAAUAUAAUCAGAACUCAAAACAACUUUUCAGUAUGUUUCUGAUCAAUAACUACGGCGCCCUGAGAGCUUGAUUCUUCCUUUUGACAGCCCUAUUUAUGUGUGAGUGUGUGUGUAUAUAUAUAUAUUUAUAUGGGAAUUAGUAGGCCUUACUUAUUUUGUCUGCCGACAACCUCAAGUUGUAUAAGCAUUGGAACGGAAUCUUCAUCAUUCAAUUGAUCUCCUGAACUAAUUAGCUGUACAACAACACUAACAUUAUCCACGUACAGACAUUCCUGAUCCAGCUGGAAGGUGUUUUAAUUUAAUUUAAUAUCUGUGAUCAUGUUCUAUUCCCAGAUUUCACAAGUGAGUGCGUGCAUUCAUAAUGAUUUCAUUUGCAGAAUAAUAAUUUAUGUUUGCCUCUCGAUUGUUCAUGUUGAUAUACUUGGGUGUUUUGCACUGUAUAUGAUGAUCUCAAGGUGCACUAUAUAUAUAUAUAUUGAGUAGGACGUGAGUGCAUGGAGACUUUAAAUUGAAGGCUACCUAACAAGAGAAAGAAACUGCUGGCCCAUGGAAAUUGCAAAGGAGACUGAGAAAGAAGAUAGAUAUCGAUCAAAGGGGGAGGGAUUGAAUUCUAAAAGUUGACUCUGAGUUUGUGGACAACGGGUGUUGCAUUUUUUACAAUUUUCCACAAAGCUUUAGGGGAAGUUCAUCAUGACAGGCUCUUUUGGCUGCAUUCUCUCCCACUGAGAAUAUAAACGUCCAUAUAUACUUGAAUCCACCCUCAAACCUACAUCGCAACUUGAUCAACGGCAAAAGGGAAAUCAGCUAGCUAGCAAUGCUUUCUUGGAUCAAGGCCUUUAGCCUCAUCCUUCUCCUGCUCCUGGCUUCCUCAUCUUCAGGGCGCAGUGCUGAUCAUGGCCUCAGAAAUGGUAUGAAAAAGAGUACAUACUCAAGCCUGGAGGCAAUGAUCCAAAUGAAGGCGAGAAAGCUCAUCCGAGUUGAUGCACUGUGGAAUAACUUGGAUUAUCAAGACCCAAUUGCCAAUCCUGCACAUGAACCGAAGAAAGGCGGCCCUGGUGGGAAAGGAUGAGGCAAUAAACCUUGACAAACUCGAGGCUCGCGCGUUAUUUACGGCCCUUAAUCUUUUGUGAGAAUGGUGUCGCUGAUCAAGAGAGAUUUGAGAUGCAAGUGAUCGAAUCUAUUUUGAAGGGUUUGUCAUUUAUAUAUAUAUAUAUAUAUAUAGAUGUAUGUAUAUACUAUAUAGCUGUGGAUGGCAUGAAAAUUUUCUUCCCUAAAAGUAGUACUUGGCCAUAUAACGAGUGCUUAAAUUGUAAUCAUGAACACAUUCAUGAAAAAGAAUGAAGAGAUAAAUAAAGUUUGGGUCGAAAAUCAUUUGUAUGUA
Carya illinoinensis is the source of this 3826-nucleotide RNA transcript. It is a transcript of the gene named beta-amylase 3, chloroplastic-like, with no coding region annotated. The transcript has 5 exons. The record is from RefSeq and is a predicted model, not a curated record. Lineage: Eukaryota; Viridiplantae; Streptophyta; Magnoliopsida; Fagales; Juglandaceae.